CGCCGAAGGUGGGGCUGAUGACUGGGGUGAAGUCGUAACAAGGUAGCCGUACCGGAAGGUGCGGCUGGAUCACCUCCUAACAGGGAGACAAAAAAUAGAUUGUGAUGUCUAAGUCAUUUAUUCUUAGGCCGCAAUCCUGUCACCUUAAGGUCGAUCGGUACCUCAGAUUUUGAGUUAGUUUAUAAUUAAUUCUUUGAUUUCAGUUCCUAAACUUGUCUAGGUCACACCCAACAAAGGUUUCUCCUGGGCCAUUAGCUCAGGUGGUUAGAGCGCACCCCUGAUAAGGGUGAGGUCCCUGGUUCAAGUCCAGGAUGGCCCAUUCGUUGUUGGGGGUAUAGCUCAGUUGGUAGAGCGCCUGCUUUGCAAGCAGGAUGUCAGCGGUUCGAGUCCGCUUACCUCCACUGAAAACUAUCCUGAUAACUAAAUUCCGGAGAAAAUUUGUAAACUUGACUUAGAUUUGUCUAUUUGAAGAACCUAGCUUCUUAUCAUCUUUUUAUAGUUGAUAACAUGCUGGGCUCACAUGGUUUAUUCCAUGAGAAUUCAGUAGAACCUUGAAAACUGCAUAGAUUAGAAAGAAUAAAGCAUCUCAUGGAUGCAUAAUUCAUGUGUAUGUAAUUUAGUUUUCAAACUAAAUUACAUAACGUGAGUUCAUGUUUAAUUCUUGAGUAAUAGCCGAGCACAAUUGAUUUUGUGAUUGUAUUUAAGGUCAAGCUACAAAGGGCUCAUGG
This 728-nucleotide unclassified non-coding RNA is filed under the name uncultured Prochlorococcus sp. Its description in RNAcentral is "partial may contain 16S ribosomal RNA, 16S-23S ribosomal RNA intergenic spacer, and 23S ribosomal RNA". The stretch from base 329 to 401 matches the Rfam family "tRNA". Lineage: Bacteria; Bacillati; Cyanobacteriota; Cyanophyceae; Synechococcales; Prochlorococcaceae. The record is from RNAcentral.